CUGGGCGUAAAGCGCAUGCAGGCGGUUUGUUAAGUCAGAUGUGAAAGCCCGGGGCUCAACCUCGGAACCGCAUUUGAAACUGGCAGGCUAGAGUCUUGUAGAGGGGGGUAGAAUUUCAGGUGUAGCGGUGAAAUGCGUAGAGAUCUGAAGGAAUACCAGUGGCGAAGGCGGCCCCCUGGACAAAGACUGACGCUCAGAUGCGAAAGCGUGGGUAGCAAACAGGAUUAGAUACCCUGGUAGUCCACGCCGUAAACGCUGUCUACUUGGAGGUUGAGGUUUUAGACUUUGGCUUUCGGCGCUAACGCAUUAAGUAGACCGCCUGGGGAGUACGGCCGCAAGGUUAAAACUCAAAUGAAUUGACGGGGGCCCGCACAAGCGGUGGAGCAUGUGGUUUAAUUCGAUGCAACGCGAAGAACCUUACCUACUCUUGACAUCCAGCGAAGCCUUUAGAGAUAGAGGCGUGCCUUCGGGAGCGCUGAGACAGGUGCUGCAUGGCUGUCGUCAGCUCGUGUUGUGAAAUGUUGGGUUAAGUCCCGCAACGAGCGCAACCCUUAUCCUUGUUUGCCAGCACAUAAUGGUGGGAACUCCAGGGAGACUGCCGGUGAUAAACCGGAGGAAGGUGGGGACGACGUCAAGUCAUCAUGGCCCUUACGAGUAGGGCUACACACGUGCUACAAUGGCAGAUACAGAGGGCAGCGAGACAGCGAUGUUUAGCGAAUCCCUUAAAGUUUGUCGUAGUCCGGAUUGGAGUCUGCAACUCGACUCCAUGAAGUCGGAAUCGCUAGUAAUCGUGGAUCAGAAUUGCCCACGGGUGAAUACGUUCCCCGGGGCCCUUUG
This 837-nucleotide ribosomal RNA is filed under the name Salinivibrio sp. IB643. RNAcentral's name for it is "bacterial SSU rRNA". It matches the Rfam family "Bacterial small subunit ribosomal RNA", at positions 554 to 1385 of the family's 1533-position model. Lineage: Bacteria; Pseudomonadati; Pseudomonadota; Gammaproteobacteria; Vibrionales; Vibrionaceae. The record is from RNAcentral.